RNAcentral lists this long non-coding RNA (427 nucleotides) under Cucumis sativus (cucumber). RNAcentral's name for it is "long non-coding RNA (CSAT_LNC002885)". The record is from RNAcentral. Lineage: Eukaryota; Viridiplantae; Streptophyta; Magnoliopsida; Cucurbitales; Cucurbitaceae.
UCGUUUCCAAACGUUGGUAUCCGGCGGCGAUGUCUUUAAAAAAAAAGGGAAAGAAUAAGGAGUUUCUAGAGAUGAAACUGAGAAGAUAACACGUGGCGGAUGGAUUACGUGGCAUGUAGAGGAGAGCAGGCACGUGUAGUUUAGAAUGGUAAGUUCUGGUUUAUUCUACUUUUGUUUUUAAUUCAAUUUAUUACUUCAUCGUUAUCUUUGUUUUUGUGUAGUCGAGAUGCGCCUAGAACCAUGGGGAAUAAUCUCUCUUCACAACUCAACAAACUCCCCAUCCCUUCGUUUCUUGGAAAGCGCUUACUUUCCUUUUGCCUUUUUGUUCUUUUAACCUUAUGACUAGUGAUGAAUUCUCGUAUUUCAAAGCUAAGUUUUACAAGUCACUAUUAUACUAACACAUUUUAUGUAAUUCAAAUUUUAGUAU